This 425-nucleotide ribosomal RNA is filed under the name uncultured bacterium. RNAcentral's name for it is "partial 16S ribosomal RNA". It matches the Rfam family "Bacterial small subunit ribosomal RNA", at positions 354 to 796 of the family's 1533-position model. The record is from RNAcentral.
GUGGGGAAUCUUGCGCAAUGGGCGAAAGCCUGACGCAGCCAUGCCGCGUGGAUGAUGACGGUCUUAGGAUUGUAAAAUCCUUUCACCGGUGAAGAUAAUGACUGUAGCCGGAGAAGAAGCCCCGGCUAACUUCGUGCCAGCAGCCGCGGUAAUACGAAGGGGGCUAGCGUUGCUCGGAAUUACUGGGCGUAAAGGGCGCGUAGGCGGACAGCUUAGUCAGAGGUGAAAGCCCAGGGCUCAACCUUGGAAUUGCCUUUGAUACUGGCUGUCUUGAGUUUGUGAGAGGUGAGUGGAACUCCGAGUGUAGAGGUGAAAUUCGUAGAUAUUCGGAAGAACACCAGUGGCGAAGGCGACUCACUGGCCCAAUACUGACGCUGAGGCGCGAAAGCGUGGGGAGCAAACAGGAUUAGAAACCCGAGUAGUCC